GAGAAAGAAUUUAAAGUCGGGCCUGCCCACUGAGUAUUUGAAGGGCCGCGGUAUUUUGACCGUGCAAAGGUAGCAUAAUCAUUAGUCUUUUAAUUGAAGGCUGGAAUGAAUGGUUUGACGAAGCAUUGACUGUCUCUUUAUAAAGCGUAGAAUUUAACUUUUGAGUCAAAAGGCUUAAAUAAUAGUAGAGGACGAGAAGACCCUAUAGAGUUUUAUAUAAAUAAUGGAUAAAUCUUAUAUGGUAGUUUUCGGAUUUAAUUAUUAUUUGUAUUGUGUUGGGGUGACAUAAAGAUAUAGAAAACUCUUUAUUAUUGUAAACAUAAAUUUAUGGAUAGAUGAUCCAUUAUUAGUGAUUAUAAGAUAAAAUUACCUUAGGGAUAACAGCGUAAUUUUCCUUGAGAGUUCAUAUCGAAAGGAAAGUUUGCGACCUCGAUGUUGGACUAAGAUAAUGAUUUGGUGUAGCAGCUAAAUUAAUAAGUCUGUUCGACUUUUAAAAUCUUAC
This 502-nucleotide ribosomal RNA is filed under the name Fulvoscirtes viridis. RNAcentral describes it as "partial 16S ribosomal RNA". It matches the Rfam family "Bacterial large subunit ribosomal RNA", at positions 1837 to 2599 of the family's 2925-position model. Lineage: Eukaryota; Metazoa; Arthropoda; Insecta; Orthoptera; Tettigoniidae. The record is from RNAcentral.